UACAGAGGGUGCGAGCGUUGUCCGGAAUUAUUGGGCGUAAAGAGCUCGUAGGCGGUGUGUCGCGUCGGCCGUGAAAACCCGCAGCUCAACUGCGGGCUUGCGGUCGAUACGGGCAGGCUGGAGUUCGGUAGGGGAGACUGGAAUUCCUGGUGUAGCGGUGAAAUGCGCAGAUAUCAGGAGGAACACCGGUGGCGAAGGCGGGUCUCUGGGCCGAUACUGACGCUGAGGAGCGAAAGCGUGGGGAGCGAACAGG
This 253-nucleotide ribosomal RNA is filed under the name uncultured bacterium. RNAcentral's name for it is "partial 16S ribosomal RNA". It matches the Rfam family "Bacterial small subunit ribosomal RNA", at positions 524 to 776 of the family's 1533-position model. The record is from RNAcentral.